UGCAAGUGCAAAAAUCUGAAGCAGAGUUAGUAUACAAAGCCAGUUGUAGGACUUCUAAUUCUGUUUGUCUCUGCCAGACAAUCCAUCACAUCUAUUAAGCUAAUUUUCAUCAGGAAAAUGCUUUGAAAUAUGCUAUUUUAGAAUGGAAAUGGCAAAGAAAAUUGAAGGAUACUUAUGUGAAACAAGAAAACUGCAUCUGGUGGGCUUCUUUGUUAAAAUAAAUGUUUGAGCUAUUAUUCAGAGCUUCUGAAAAGGAAGAUUAAGAAAGCAAACUAUCUGGCCUUCUGAUACAAUUGGAUAUGUAAUCUAUUUAUGACAGAGACACUAAAUUUGAUAUUCGAAUAAUGUAUAAAACCAAUUUCUAUUCCAUUUGCACACCCCAAAAACAUUCUGACCUCCUAUCUCUGCCUGUUCAUCCAGUCUACCCAUCUGCCUGUAAUGAAGCUAACCCUAAUGUCAUCACCAGCGCUCAGAUUCUACAAUGACAGUUUCAUUUCUCCAAGUACUUCCAGCCUCCUGAGAAGCAGAGAGGAAAGGACAUCAGAAAGCCCAAACACCAGACUUAGGCAAAGUGGCUCUUAGGUGCCUUCCAGGUUUGUGCCAAAACACCUGUGAAUUCACAGUCCAGAGGUACAUGCAAGAAACUGGUGGUGAUCAGUUUUAAACCAGCAGACCAGAGACCAAAUACAAUCUCAAGCAGAAACAUGGGAAAAGAGAGAGAAAGCUGAUUGAAAGAGGACUGAUGAACACGGGUGACAAUUGCUGAGCUGUAAAGCAGACAAACAGCAUUGCAAGUGCCCUCCUGUGCUUUUGAGAUUGAUGUAAGGAGGCGAAGCGUUACAGAAAACAUGCUGCAUGCAGCUUAAGAGCCUGCAUCAGCCGAAGUUCUGAGGAAAAAUGGGGCAAAAUGGCUUGUUUAUGUUUCCAACAGGAUCCAAGUGACAGAGUUCAAAUCUGGAUGUGCUUUAUUUGUGUGUGAGGUAAACACAUAGGCCAGUAAGGGCUCCUCGGUGAAGUCAGCACAAAUGCAAAGCAUGCCUUCCCACAGUGCACGCGUUUUUGUAAGACAGUAAAACAACA
Molecule: long non-coding RNA, 1080 nt
Filed under: Phasianus colchicus (ring-necked pheasant)
Lineage: Eukaryota; Metazoa; Chordata; Aves; Galliformes; Phasianidae
Description: lncRNA (ENSPCLG00000001508.1)
Source: RNAcentral